AGUGAACGCUGGCGGUAGGCCUAACACAUGCAAGUCGAACGGCAGCACAGUAAGAGCUUGCUCUUACGGUUGGCGAGUGGCGGACGGGUGAGGAAUACAUCGGAAUCUACUUUUUCGUGGGGGAUAACGUAGGGAAACUUACGCUAAUACCGCAUACGACCUACGGGUGAAAGCAGGGGAUCUUCGGACCUUGCGCGAUUGAAUGAGCCGAUGUCGGAUUAGCUAGUUGGCGGGGUAAAGUCCCACCAAGGCGACGAUCCGUAGCUGGUCUGAGAGGAUGAGAAGCCACACUGGAACUGAGAAACGGUCCAGACUCCUACGGGAGGCAGCAGUGGGGAAUAUUGGACAAUGGGCGCAAGCCUGAUCCAGCCAUACCGCGUGGGUGAAGAAGGCCUUCGGGUUGUAAAGCCCUUUUGUUGGGAAAGAAAAGCAGCAGGUUAAUACCCCGCUGUUCUGACGGUACCCAAAGAAUAAGCACCGGCUAACUUCGUG
RNAcentral lists this ribosomal RNA (492 nucleotides) under uncultured bacterium. RNAcentral describes it as "partial 16S ribosomal RNA". It matches the Rfam family "Bacterial small subunit ribosomal RNA", at positions 29 to 507 of the family's 1533-position model. The record is from RNAcentral.